GGAGGAGUGGCCGAGUGGUCUAAGGCGGCGGUCUUGAAAACCGCUGCGGGGAAACCCGCCGUGGGUUCGAAUCCUACCUCCUCCG
RNAcentral lists this transfer RNA (85 nucleotides) under Myxococcales bacterium. Its description in RNAcentral is "tRNA-Ser". It matches the Rfam family "tRNA". From Rfam's summary of the family: Transfer RNA (tRNA) molecules are approximately 80 nucleotides in length. Their secondary structure includes four short double-helical elements and three loops (D, anti-codon, and T loops). Lineage: Bacteria; Pseudomonadati; Myxococcota; Myxococcia; Myxococcales. The record is from RNAcentral.